Molecule: long non-coding RNA, 1589 nt
Filed under: Venturia canescens
Lineage: Eukaryota; Metazoa; Arthropoda; Insecta; Hymenoptera; Ichneumonidae
Description: uncharacterized LOC122414156
Source: RNAcentral
UUCGUUCGGAUAACGUGGAAUAUUGACGAAUUAAAAAUUCACUUUUUGACGAACGCGCUGAGGAACGUGGAAAGUGGAAAAAAAAUGGGUGGGCAAAUUUUUGCCUCAUUAAAAUGGAAGGUUCUCGAAAUAUACGAAAAUCGGCUGAAUUCUUUUUGCUGCGGUGGAUUCUGAGGAACACUUUUUUUUAUAGAAACGAAUGCGCGAAGCAUCAAGUCCCACUCCCCACGAAAUUUCCAUAUUUUAUGCCAAGUACGAAAAUCUUUGUUAAAACGAAGGCCAAGUUCGAUGCCGAUGGUCACGCAUAUACACGCGUCGUAUUCAAAAUAGGCUGCGAUUAGUUUUUCGUCGUCCAACGAAAAAGGACACUAGAAGGACGCUCACGCCGUUUAUCGACCAGUCACGUUACAUGGCAGUUCUCUUUUUCUUUCGCAUCGAGUACUUCUGUAGACAUCUGUCAAUGAUGUACACCGUAUUUCCGGACAGAAGUGAUUCAUCGACGGAGAGCUUCCUGGAAACUCCAGGAACGGUCAUCGUCGAGGGAGAUGCACGCAGGGAGAAAGAGAAAGAAAGCGAGCGAGGGCGCACGAGAAGCAAAGGGUGGGGGACCGAGUCUAUUUAUCGUUGGAAAGAACUAAUGAACUGAACAGACAAUUUAGCAGUGCCGGAUCAAGCACAAAUGGCGACCAAAGUCCCCCCCACUUACGUCGGAACACCGGCAUACUGAAGAAUCCUACAGUUCAAGCUCGGACAUAAAAAUACCAUUUUUUAAAUGUAUGCGUUUGUGUCGCUCGCUUCUGGUCUGUAGAGGCCAAAAUUUCGAGGAUUCGGGAAUUUCUUAUGAUAUGAAAUUUAAGAGUUUCGGUGCACGAUGUUGGCAAGUGCCGGGAGCAAAGCAGAAAUGGCCGACCGGCGCGUCUGCCUCACGGCAUAACCACAAAGUAAACGCAAUACAGCUUUUCGGGUGAUAAUCAAAACGACUAGAGUUAGCGGAAAAAAUGCAAAAAUUUUCGUGGAAGAUUAUGUGUUGUCGAAGGAGAUGCAUCAUAAGGAAAUACACGGCAGAAAUCUUAGAGGAAAAAAGUUUGAGAAUUACGCGAUAUUCCGUUAUCGCGAGCAGCGCGACAAAAAUCUCGACACGAUGAAACGGGUGGAGGGGACACCGGUGACUGACUCAUGGCUUUUAUCGGUGUCAAAUUUAAUGUUUCUUUUUUAUUGACGUUUUCACACGGUCAACGACGAUUGUGAAUUUGCAAAAAAUAUGAAUAAACGGUGUAAGCUCCACUGAAACUUUGCACGAUCACAAAUUUGGGAAAUUGAGCGAGUUUGAAACGCGAACCGGUAUGCUUGCCGCAUUUUAGACGUUUCGAUUCACGUUGCGAAGAAAAGAUUAAUACCUAAACGCCCUAUUCUCAAUUUUCUUUUUGUUUCACACCGAGCAUGCACGUUUUAAAGAAUAGUUACCAUUUUUGCGGAAUCAGUCGUGUAUUAACAAGGAGGUACUAGAUUUUUCUUGUUUUUUUCGAGUAAACAAGCGCACUACCCGAAAACUUUUCCGCGUAUACUCCGAGAUGGGCUUUGGUAGAACU